RNAcentral lists this ribosomal RNA (254 nucleotides) under uncultured bacterium. RNAcentral describes it as "partial 16S ribosomal RNA". It matches the Rfam family "Bacterial small subunit ribosomal RNA", at positions 524 to 777 of the family's 1533-position model. The record is from RNAcentral.
UACGUAGGUGGCAAGCGUUGUCCGGAUUUACUGGGCGUAAAGAGCGCGCAGGUGGUCGUUCAAGUCGCGUGUGAAAGCCCCCGGCUCAACUGGGGAGGGUCACGCGAUACUGAUCGACUCGAAGGCAGGAGAGGGUAGUGGAAUUCCCGGUGUAGUGGUGAAAUGCGUAGAUAUCGGGAGGAACACCAGUGGCGAAGGCGACUACCUGGCCUGUUCUUGACGCUGAGGCGCGAAAGCUAGGGGAGCAAACGGGG